CAAAGUUUCAGUGCAUUCUGUUGAUGUAGACGGCGUGAAAACGAAAACAAGUAUGCCGUCUCACUGUGCUGCGUACAGUUACACACUACGUCGUACGACUGAGACAAGGAAACUUGGAAUGACUUUUCAUAGGUUUCCCAGAGACUAUGGGUUGAGGAGGAAUUGGAAGUUUGUCGGCUUAGACCUGGUGUCAUUCCAUCAGUGUUAAACUUCCCGGCUCAUCUUGGAAGAGUACGUGCCAGAAAGACCACGACCAAGCAGCCUUGAGAUCUUAGGCAGCGUCUCCCUCAGAUCCACCAACCACUGGAACACAUCUCCAAAGUUCUGCUGGUCCAGCUCAGCUUCCCCUCAGAAGAAGUGGCGCCACCUGCCAGAUGAAGGAAACUUUUUAGAGGCAGCUGGCAUCGUGAUUGGACUGUACUUUGGUCUGUUCCAAUCCAGCUUCAGCUCCAGAGACGGCAGGCGGGACGAGUCAACGGAGGCCGGGUGGACGAAGACCAAAGAACUACAGACUCUUCACAACCUGCUCAAACUCUUGGUACAGGACCUCACCACACGGGUCAAGAAGGUUUCCAUCUCAUUUCUACUCUGAAGAUCACCUUCUCCUGCUCAAACUGCUGACAAAUGUUUCUGCUGCUCUAAAGUCUGGUCUCCAGAACUUCCUAAAAACUCUCAAAGUCUCUUCUGCUGCAGGUUGCUUUGUAGAACUGUUCCAGAAAACCUCACUAAACCACAUGGAGGGGCCUCAAGAUAGUCGUCCAAAUGAAACCGUACAAAAACCAAACUAGCACAACCCAAACGCUAAAGUCUCCUGCAGCC
Long non-coding RNA from Amphiprion ocellaris (clown anemonefish), 819 nucleotides. Lineage: Eukaryota; Metazoa; Chordata; Actinopteri; Pomacentridae. The record is from Ensembl.